CAAGUGGGACGACCCGCCUGCGCUUCUGUUGUCUGGGGACGACCCCA
RNAcentral lists this non-coding RNA (47 nucleotides) under Serratia fonticola. RNAcentral describes it as "Guanidine-II sequence". It matches the Rfam family "Guanidine-II riboswitch aptamer (mini-ykkC)". Rfam says of the family: Simpler in structure and has fewer highly conserved nucleotide positions than the ykkC-yxkD leader. Despite this each of its two stem-loop structures directly bind free guanidine. Therefore, mini-ykkC RNA motif represents a distinct class of guanidine-sensing RNAs. The record is from Rfam by way of RNAcentral. Lineage: Bacteria; Pseudomonadati; Pseudomonadota; Gammaproteobacteria; Enterobacterales; Yersiniaceae.